GAAAUGCGAUAAUUAAUGUGAAUUGCAGAAUUCAGUGAAUCAUCGAGUCUUUGAACGCACAUUGCGCCCCCUGGUAUUCCGGGGGGCAUGCCUGUCCGAGCGUCAUUGCUGCCCUCAAGCACGGCUUGUGUGUUGGGCUUCCGUCCCUGGCAACGGGGACGGGCCCAAAAGGCAGUGGCGGCACCAUGUCUGGUCCUCGAGCGUAUGGAGCUUUGUCACCCGCUCCCGUAGGUCCAGCUGGCAGCUAGCCUCGCAACCAAUCUUUUUAACCAGGUUGACCUCGGAUCAGGUAGGGAUACCCGCUGAACUUAAGC
Molecule: unclassified non-coding RNA, 314 nt
Filed under: plant metagenome
Description: partial contains 5.8S ribosomal RNA, internal transcribed spacer 2, and large subunit ribosomal RNA
Rfam family: 5.8S ribosomal RNA (bases 1-105)
Source: RNAcentral